This 497-nucleotide ribosomal RNA is filed under the name uncultured bacterium. RNAcentral describes it as "partial 16S ribosomal RNA". It matches the Rfam family "Bacterial small subunit ribosomal RNA", at positions 28 to 507 of the family's 1533-position model. The record is from RNAcentral.
GAUGAACGCUGGCGGCGUGCCUAAUACAUGCCAGUCGAGCGAACGGACGAGGAGCUUGCUUCUCUGAUGUUAGCGGCGGACGGGUGAGUAACACGUGGAUAACCUACCUAUAAGACUGGGAUAACUUCGGGAAACCGGAGCUAAUACCGGAUAAUAUUUUGAACCGCAUGGUUCAAAAGUGAAAGACGGUCUUGCUGUCACUUAUAGAUGGAUCCGCGCUGCAUUAGCUAGUUGGUAAGGUAACGGCUUACCAAGGCAACGAUGCAUAGCCGACCUGAGAGGGUGAUCGGCCACACUGGAACUGAGACACGGUCCAGACUCCUACGGGAGGCAGCAGUAGGGAAUCUUCCGCAAUGGGCGAAAGCCUGACGGAGCAACGCCGCGUGAGUGAUGAAGGUCUUCGGAUCGUAAAACUCUGUUAUUAGGGAAGAACAUAUGUGUAAGUAACUGUGCACAUCUUGACGGUACCUAAUCAGAAAGCCACGGCUAACUACGUG